CUGUAUCAACUGAUGCCGUAGCUUCAUCUAGCACUAAUAUCUUGCUUUUCUUAAGUAAAACUCGGCCGAGGCAAACCAACUGUCUUUGACCCAUGCUCCAGUUUUCUCCAUUCUCAGUAACUGCAGAUCUCAUCAUGGAUGAUGCUAAGUGAUACAUUGCAUAAAGUUUGCUUCUAACACUUACUAUAAACUUCCUUUGUUCCAUAUUAAUUUUUUUUUCCACAAGGAUUAAUAUAAGUAAUAAAUAGGUUAAUGCGUAAAAUAGUUUUACUAAUUUAUCCUUAUUAGUCAUUAGAAUAUAACCAUUUUGAGAAGUCGAACCUGUUGAGUCGAGCUUUUCUUCUUUCUUCC
RNAcentral lists this long non-coding RNA (351 nucleotides) under Lathyrus oleraceus (garden pea). RNAcentral's name for it is "Pisum sativum (pea) long non-coding RNA (PSAT_LNC020101)". The record is from RNAcentral. Lineage: Eukaryota; Viridiplantae; Streptophyta; Magnoliopsida; Fabales; Fabaceae.